GGAGGGAUCGCAUAGAGGUCUAGUGCGCCCGCCUGCUAAGCGGGUUGGGGGUGUAGAGCCCCCUCGUGGGUUCGAAUCCCACUCCCUCCGCCA
This 93-nucleotide transfer RNA is filed under the name Gemmatimonadota bacterium. RNAcentral's name for it is "Gemmatimonadetes bacterium (freshwater metagenome) tRNA-Ser". It matches the Rfam family "tRNA". Rfam says of the family: Transfer RNA (tRNA) molecules are approximately 80 nucleotides in length. Lineage: Bacteria; Pseudomonadati; Gemmatimonadota. The record is from RNAcentral.